AAAACCGAAAGUAGAUUUCUACGAGACUACGAGUACAAGUUCAUUUUACGAAAGUCAUAGGCUAGAGGUCCAUUCCCAUUGCAGAAAGAGUUUGUGCUUGACGACGAAGUGGACAGCCGGGGAGAGUGAUUUUUUGUGGUUGUAACUUUAACCCAGAAGCUUAUAACGCUGGUCAGACAAUUGAAGUGAGGAUGCCAUUUCCAAAACAAGAAGAGAGGAAAAAAUGUUGGGCAUCGAAGGACAGCUAUUGGCUCUGUAUGGACAAGAACAAUGAUGACACUUCAAAAUGCACUAAAGAAAGGGCUGAAUAUGAGAAAAGCUGUAUAAAGCAGUGGGUGACAUACUUUGACAGACGCAGAGAUUACCUGAGGUACAAAGAACAAAUGGAGAAAGGAGGCCCAGUCCCACCUCCCAACAAGCAGGCGUGAUGAACAGUCAAUAAAAUCAAUUGUGAUAUAAACAGAAUAUGAUGAUGUACAGGUUGUGUUUUGAAAGUGUUACAUAGGUGGGUGAAAGUGGAGUGCAACAAUAAAGAUUAAAGUGUCUUAACAUGUUUUUCCCAUGAAGAAUAAGUGGAGACUUUUCUUACCAGAUUGAUGACUAGAUUUUAAAGGCAAUUCACAACCCAAAUAAAGGAAAGGAAAGCAGGCAGUCGAAUGGCUGUUCAUAUGAUUUGACUUUGUCCACAUUAGCAUUCUCAAAAGGUUAGCUUACACAAACAUUGCAACAACCUAAAUUUUAAACAGUAAAUCUGUAUUUUUUGUGACGAUUUUCAAGUUGAGAAGAUAAUUAGACACAACACUUGCACAGGAAAGUUGAUCAAAUUUGAGGCUCCUCAUAAACUCCUCUUCACUUGUAACAGAUGACAUUGAUAGCAGAGUCAAGUCCUUUCCCCCGAAAAUACAGAACUGGGAGCAUCGUGCUGAAAGAGAAAUACAGUGCAAACGGCAUCUGACGGUGUCGUUCACUUUGACCUUCAAGUUCGUUGAAUCCAAGUGUACAUUCAGAGAAAGGUGUGACUAACAGGAACAUUGAUCAAAAAAAGACAAAAGACAUGUGGGAAUGUGUCACCAUGCGAAUACGAAGGUAAAGAAUAGCACCCCAGAGUCCUUGCUUAGAUGAGCUGUUGCUUUCCUUGGUGCAGCCUCUAAACAAUAGGCAGGGGCUUGCACAAGAUUCUUACUUUGUUUUUUCAUGUUCACCACACCAGAACUUCUAUUAAUCUAAAGUGCUUUUUCAGCAUUUUCAAGGACGUAUGCUUGUUUUCUCUUCAGUUUUACAUGUUUCUGGGUCCACAGCUUCCAUUAUCAUAUCCUUGUCUUUCAUAUAAGGUCACAGACAGCUUGAAGCAGUACCAUGUUCAUCACAAGGUCUGUUCUAUUUUUUCCGGUUGUCAACUUCCUAGAGCAAUUUGAUAUAAAACUAGAGUCAUUUUCUUCUCUUUGUUGGCAUAAGAUAAUGAAAGAACCGUUAUCCAAGACUAGGACUAGACAAAGGGCUACAGUAUGUACAGGGGAUUGCCAAAGCUCAAAUUGUGUGUGGUGUCUGUAACCUGGUGGUUAGGCUACUGGACUUGUAAUUGUGAGAUUGCGUUACGGGGGUUCGAACCUCAGCUCGGUGUGACGUUGUGUCCUUGGGAAAAGCACUUUACACAAAUAUUCCAUGUGGCUCGGUUCUUUCGAAGAUGGGCAUUAAACUCAGAUGUCCCAUCCCUCAGAGAACCUAAAUAAGUGUUGGUAGGGGGCGUUAAACCUAUACCAUUUCACCAUUUUCACAAAUUGUGUGUCAUUGUCACAUGAGAUUUUUUGCCUAAGUUUAUGUAAUACAAUAUAUGCAUUGUAGUACUGCUUGAGCAAGGUGUGUCUAGACCUAUCAGAUGUUUGGUUCUACUGAUCUGCAUGCAACUUGUUAUGUAGAUUUGUGUCCAUGACGGUUCCCUUGCCAGGCAAACAAAUUUAUAACUACUCAUCUGAGGAUGAUCUACGCUUGACACGCUUAAGCUCAACACACCCUCGCAUAAACCCCUCAACUCAUGUGUUGUGUGAAAAGAGGCUUCUGAUUGGUCUCAGACCUUUGGAAUAGAAUAGACAAGUGACAAGGUUCAAUGCGGAAGAAAGAUAUGCGAAGCCACAUCAAGGUUGGGCUUUUUAUUCUGCUAGCAGCUUUGAUGAGUUCGAAGUUGCUUUUUUAGUGCUCAGUGAUCUCACUGUAUUUUACUGAUUUUAAUGAAUGAGAAGAAAACCCAGCAGAUUCUUUGUGAAUGAUGCAAGCCCAUUUAGUUAUCUUUCAAAGGUAUCAUACAAAAUUGAAAUCGAACAAGUGCAAACUUAAAAACAUUGAUUUUAUAACUCUUAGUAUUAUUAGAUGUUUUGGAACUUGAUAAUUUUUAAAAACUCUCUAGAUUCUAAAUCUAAAGAAUAAAAACAUGUGAUAAUGUCAUACUUUUUCUGUCAUUUAAAUACUGAUACUAGUGUACUCUAUGUUAUGUUCAGAAACCGAAACAACACUUCAAAUUGUAAGGACCUAUUAUCAUGAAUAAUUGCAAUAGUACACAGGUAUUUUUGUGAUUAAAACACUUGAAAGGACCGAUACACAGGGAAUGCAUAUAUUAGUGCUAAAAUAGUUGUCAUUGAUUGAGUUGGAUGUAAUGUGUAAAUUUAUUUGAUAAUUUCUUCAUUGAAAAAGCAUUCUUUUGUGCAAAUGUUUUAAAGUUUGUGUUGUUUGCAAUGUAUGAAGAACAGCAUACCGGGUACUGGGCUUACUCCCUUUGGGAGACUGGCUCGAAAGUUUUUUUAUAUGAUAAAUAUAGUCGAGUCCUCUUAAACUGAACACUUUCAUUCUAAAAACAGUGGAAAAAGUAAAAAGAAAAUUCCAAAUUUUUAAGAACUUUUGGUUGAGCAACCUUUCUCAUACAAAAAUCUGGCUAAAGUGAAGAAAAUCUGGAGGUCCUGCAGAUUUCGGUUUAAGUGGACUCCACUGUACAUGCUGUGAAUGAAAUGAUGAAUGUUUUAUGAUCUCAAAGUACUAGUUGAAAUAAUUGAACUGUUUACCAGCACCACUGAUAAAGAUGUUUUUGAAUCCAAGUGAAAUAAAGUUAGGGAAUCUUUUUACAGCAGACUUAUAUGUAGCUGAGCUAGAAAUGGUGUGUCCAGAUUUACAUGAACUUGAGAUUUUUACUUUGACAUGUUUUCAACCUGCACAGAAUUAGGAUUGUGAAGUCAUGAUGAUUCUGUAUUAACCAAUUUUCUGGAACAUUCUGAACAUGGUGUGUAUGUUACAUGUACAUAGAUUUGGUUAUAAAAAUCUGACUACAUACUAGAUGUAAUAUGUUUGCCAGUAUGGUAACAUUUUAUUUUUGUCAAUAAAUUGUUUAUGCACGGCAACGUACUGGCUUUUGAUUUAACACUGUGUAAUAAUAUUAUCGAAACUAUAAUAUUGACUCACACUUAACUUUUUGUCUUUCUCGUUCAUUUUAUGUUCUUCCUUCCCACUUUAUGCAGGCGCACAAACACAAACACACUGGUGUUUGUUGUGUAGUAGGUAUAGGACGCUUGGCUGUCACAUACAGGAGAUCUGAGUUUGAUGCCCAGGUGGGGAUAAAUUUUCAUUUAAUAUUUAAAUUUUUCUGCUGGGCAUUGUCGGAAGCCCACCUCCUGAAUUAUGUAACUUGUGCUGAUUGAGAUGUAAAAGCACUUUAAUUUUUUUUAAAUUAAAAAUUACGCUCGAAAACAUGCAAUGCUUUUCAAUUACACAGAAGAAAAGCAUAUGAUCUUUUAUUAAAGACAUGUGUUUAAAUAAAAAAUCUACUACUUUUGUUCUGAGUGGCAUUGCGACUUAACUUGCACAAAAAAGUCAUGAGAUAUGUUGUGGAUCUUUUAAACGUUUUUUUAAUGAAAUCUCAUUAAUCAGGUACUGUGGUAGGGUAAACUCAGAAUAUCGGUCGCAAAAUUCCAUGGCGUGUCAUCAUGUAUAGAUCAUUAAAAAGGUUUCUCCUCA
Aplysia californica (California sea hare) is the source of this 3996-nucleotide long non-coding RNA. RefSeq lists it as uncharacterized. The transcript is spliced from 3 exons. NCBI's taxonomy places the organism in Eukaryota, Metazoa, Mollusca, Gastropoda, Aplysiida, Aplysiidae. The record is from RefSeq and is a predicted model, not a curated record.